GAGGGUGUAGCUCAGUGGUAGAGCAUGUGCUUAGCAUGCAUGAGGUCCUGGGUUCAAUCCCCAGUACCUCCU
This 72-nucleotide transfer RNA is filed under the name Camelus bactrianus (Bactrian camel). It matches the Rfam family "tRNA". From Rfam's summary of the family: Transfer RNA (tRNA) molecules are approximately 80 nucleotides in length. Lineage: Eukaryota; Metazoa; Chordata; Mammalia; Artiodactyla; Camelidae. The record is from Rfam by way of RNAcentral. RNAcentral also lists the same sequence under 2 other names.